CAGUAGCCGCGGGAAAACAGAGGGUGCGAGCGUUAAUCGGAUUUACUGGGCGUAAAGCGUGCGUAGGCGGCUUUUUAAGUCGGAUGUGAAAUCCCUGAGCUUAACUUAGGAAUUGCAUUCGAUACUGGGAAGCUAGAGUAUGGGAGAGGAUGGUAGAAUUCCAGGUGUAGCGGUGAAAUGCGUAGAGAUCUGGAGGAAUACCGAUGGCGAAGGCAGCCAUCUGGCCUAAUACUGACGCUGAGGUACGAAAGCAUGGGGAGCAAACAGGAUUAGAGACCCCUGUAGUCCCUGUCUCUUAUAC
Molecule: ribosomal RNA, 301 nt
Filed under: uncultured bacterium
Lineage: Bacteria
Description: partial 16S ribosomal RNA
Rfam family: Bacterial small subunit ribosomal RNA
Source: RNAcentral